RNAcentral lists this ribosomal RNA (468 nucleotides) under uncultured bacterium. RNAcentral's name for it is "partial 16S ribosomal RNA". It matches the Rfam family "Bacterial small subunit ribosomal RNA", at positions 28 to 507 of the family's 1533-position model. The record is from RNAcentral.
GACGAACGCUGGCGGCGUGCUUAACACAUGCAAGUCGAACGGAAAGGCCCUGCUUUUGUGGGGUGCUCGAGUGGCGAACGGGUGAGUAACACGUGAGUAACCUGCCCUUGACUUUGGGAUAACUUCAGGAAACUGGGGCUAAUACCGGAUAGGAGCUCCUGCUGCAUGGUGGGGGGUGGAAAGUUUCGGCGGUUGGGGAUGGACUCGCGGCUUAUCAGCUUGUUGGUGGGGUAGUGGCUUACCAAGGCUUUGACGGGUAGCCGGCCUGGGAGGGUGACCGGCCACAUUGGGACUGAGAUACGGCCCAGACUCCUACGGGAGGCAGCAGUGGGGAAUAUUGCACAAUGGGCGGAAGCCUGAUGCAGCAACGCCGCGUGCGGGAUGACGGCCUUCGGGUUGUAAACCGCUUUCGCCUGUGACGAAGCGUGAGUGACGGUAAUGGGUAAAGAAGCACCGGCUAACUACGUG